GACGAACGCUGGCGGCGUGCUUAACACAUGCAAGUCGAACGGAAAGGCCCUGCUUUUGUGGGGUGCUCGAGUGGCGAACGGGUGAGUAACACGUGAGUAACCUGCCCUUGACUUUGGGAUAACUUCAGGAAACUGGGGCUAAUACCGGAUAGGAGCUCCUGCUGCAUGGUGGGGGUUGGAAAGUUUCGGCGGUUGGGGAUGGACUCGCGGCUUAUCAGCUUGUUGGUGGGGUAGUGGCUUACCAAGGCUUUGACGGGUAGCCGGCCUGAGAGGGUGACCGGCCACAUUGGGACUGAGAUACGGCCCAGACUCCUACGGGAGGCAGCAGUGGGGAAUAUUGCACAAUGGGCGGAAGCCUGAUGCAGCAACGCCGCGUGCGGGAUGACGGCCUUCGGGUUGUAAACCGCUUUCGCCGGUGACGAAGCGUGAGUGACGGUAAUAGGUAAAGAAGCACCGGCUAACUACGUG
RNAcentral lists this ribosomal RNA (468 nucleotides) under uncultured bacterium. RNAcentral's name for it is "partial 16S ribosomal RNA". It matches the Rfam family "Bacterial small subunit ribosomal RNA", at positions 28 to 507 of the family's 1533-position model. The record is from RNAcentral.